UUAGCUUAGCACCGAUUGCUAGGCUGGUUGGGGAGAAGGGAAGAAGCGAGCGAAGUUGGUUGAAGGAAACUUGAACCAAAAGAGCGAGCGAGAAAAGCCUUUGAAGAUGACCAGAUGGUAAGAAGCUUUCGAAACUCAAAGAGUAGAGAUGGAAACAUCAAAACAAAGAGAGUGAGGAAGUGUAGCAAUGGGUGCUAAGGUAGGUUCUAGCGGCGGACGGGUGAGUAACGCGUGAGCAAUCUGUCUAUCGCAGGGGGAUAACACUUGGAAACAGGUGCUAAUACCGCAUAAGACCACAGCAUCACAUGGUGCAGGGGUCAAAGGAGCAAUCCGGCGAAAGAGGAGCUCGCGUCCCAUUAGCUAGUUGGUGAGGUAACGGCCCACCAAGGCGACGAUGGGUAGCCGACCUGAGAGGGUGAUCGGCCACACUGGGACUGAGACACGGCCCAGACUCCUACGGGAGGCAGCAGUGGGGAAUAUUGGGCAAUGGGGGAAACCCUGACCCAGCAACGCCGCGUGGGGGAAGAAGGUUUUCGGAUUGUAAACCCCUGUCCUCAGGGAAGAAAAAAAUGACGGUACCUGAGGAGGAAGCCCCGGCUAACUACGUGCCAGCAGCCGCGGUAAUACGUAGG
Molecule: ribosomal RNA, 632 nt
Filed under: uncultured bacterium
Lineage: Bacteria
Description: bacterial SSU rRNA
Rfam family: Bacterial small subunit ribosomal RNA (bases 140-632)
Source: RNAcentral